CUCAAAUAAUAAUAAUAAAAUAUUGAUAUCAUUUAAAUAAAAACCUAAUGCCUCAAUGGAUUAAAAUAAAGUUUUGACAAUUUCGGUGCAUUUCUAUAUGCAGCAGAUAUACAGCACUGUAAAACCAAUUGUUUCUAAAUUAAGCACUGUGCUACAGCAAACCAUUUCUAAACUACUAGCUGUAAGAUACCACUAUAGUAGAUGUAAAGCAUGUUUUCACCUCUUCAUGAGUAAAGCAAAAUGGCAGAAGAUAACCAUGUUCAGACUUACAAAACUAUAUAGAGUGGAAGAAAAAUCUGUACCCCUCCAAAUAACUUUAUAAUUAUUAGAUUUCAAAAAUGUGUUAAUGCCAACAAAUAGGAAGCUAUGGAUGGGCUAUCUGAUAGUGACCUUCAAAUGAGCUGAUUAUGUAAAUGAGGAUAAUUGCAAAUCCUACUCAUAAACUGUAAUAAAUAGGGAAAAAUUUCCAUUUACAAACUUGUUAAGCAUUC
Molecule: long non-coding RNA, 491 nt
Filed under: Androctonus crassicauda
Lineage: Eukaryota; Metazoa; Arthropoda; Arachnida; Scorpiones; Buthidae
Source: RNAcentral